CAUAUUGCACAAUGGGGGAAACCCAGAUGCAGCAACGCCGCGUGAGCGAUGAGGGCCUUCGGGUCGUAAAGCUCUGUCCUAAGGUCCGAUAAUGACGGUACCUUAGGUGGCAUCCCCGGCUAACUACGUGCCCGCAGCCGCGGUAAUACGUAGGGGGCAAGCGUUAUCCGGAAUCAUUGGGCGUAAAGGGUGCGUAGGCUGCCCUAUAGGUCAGAGGUCAAAGGCUACGGCUCAACCGUAGUAAGCCUUUGAAACUGUAGGGCUUGAGUGCAGGAGAGGAGAGUGGAAUUCCUAGUGUAGCGGUGAAAUGCGUAGAUAUUAGGAGGAACACCAGUGGCGAAGGCGACUCUCUGGACUGCAACUGACGCUGAGGCACGAAAGCGUGGGUAGCGAACA
RNAcentral lists this ribosomal RNA (396 nucleotides) under uncultured bacterium. RNAcentral's name for it is "partial 16S ribosomal RNA". It matches the Rfam family "Bacterial small subunit ribosomal RNA", at positions 359 to 774 of the family's 1533-position model. The record is from RNAcentral.